Long non-coding RNA from Meriones unguiculatus (Mongolian gerbil), 568 nucleotides. RefSeq lists it as uncharacterized. The record is from RefSeq and is a predicted model, not a curated record. The transcript is spliced from 3 exons. Lineage: Eukaryota; Metazoa; Chordata; Mammalia; Rodentia; Muridae.
AGUAAAGUUGGUCCUUGACAAGCACCUGUUUGCUUGGACUCGUUCUUUUCUCUCAGCUCAUCUUUUCACAGGUUUGGAUCUCUUCUAUCCCUCGGAAUAACAAGCUCCGCUGGCCGGAGCAGGUGGUGCCCAGACGGGGGGCUAGAAGAACGAACCCCCUCCGGAUGGAGACUCUCUAGAACAGUGACCAGUCAUUCUCCUUGAAGGCCGCUGUUUCUAGACCCACAAGACGAACCAUGAAUAUCCUACAGACCUCCCUUGUUAUGUCAUUGGCAACCUGGCUGGUGACUAGAGAAGGCGAGAUGUCGGGACCACCUGUGGAAACUCAACAACUUGCCUCAACUUGCCCAUUCCCUUACCUGCAGUAAAGGUACUGCUUGGCAGCAGCAGAGAUGUGCUCACAGAACUGUGGCUUGGCAGCAGCAGAGAUGUGCUCACAGAACCGUGGCUUACCACAAGAUGUUUCAGGCCCCUGGCCGAGAAGAAUCUAUAACUUUUCACCCACCCUACUUCCUCAUCCUGAACCUUUUAUAAAAGCUGAUUUUGCUCAGUAAAGUUAGUCCUUGAC